GGUUGUAUAGCUCAGUGGUAGAGCACCCGCAUACGUAUCGGAAGGUGGGGGGUUCGACUCCCUCUGCCUCCA
RNAcentral lists this transfer RNA (72 nucleotides) under Pristionchus pacificus. It matches the Rfam family "tRNA". From Rfam's summary of the family: Transfer RNA (tRNA) molecules are approximately 80 nucleotides in length. Lineage: Eukaryota; Metazoa; Nematoda; Chromadorea; Rhabditida; Neodiplogasteridae. The record is from Rfam by way of RNAcentral.